UACGUAGGCAGCGAGCGUUGUUCGGAGUUACUGGGCGUAAAGGGUGUGUAGGCGGUUGUUUAAGUUUGGUGUGAAAUCUCCCGGCUCAACUGGGAGGGUGCGCCGAAUACUGAGCGACUAGAGUGCGGGAGAGGAAAGUGGAAUUCCUGGUGUAGCGGUGAAAUGCGCAGAUAUCAGGAAGAACACCCGUGGCGAAGGCGGCUCACUGGACCGGUACUGACGCUGAUGCGCGAAAGCGUGGGUAGCAAACAGG
This 253-nucleotide ribosomal RNA is filed under the name uncultured bacterium. Its description in RNAcentral is "partial 16S ribosomal RNA". It matches the Rfam family "Bacterial small subunit ribosomal RNA", at positions 524 to 776 of the family's 1533-position model. The record is from RNAcentral.